UUAAACUUGAGAGUUUGAUCAUGGCUCAGAACGUACGCUGGCGGCACGCCUAACACAUGCAAGUCGAACGAAGUAGCAAUACUUAGUGGCAGACGGGUGAGUAACAUGUGGGUAUCUGCCCUUUGGCCUGGAAUAACACGAGGAAACUUGUGCUAAUACUGGAUAAGUCUUUACGGAGAAAGCUUUAUGCACCAUUGGAUGAGCCCGCACUUGAUUAGUUUGUUGGUGGGGUAAUGGCCUACCAAGACUUUGAUCAAUAGCUGAUUUGAGAGGAUGAUCAGCCACAUUGGGACUGAGACACGGCCCAAACUCCUACGGGAGGCAGCAGUGGGGAAUCUUGCACAAUGGAGGAAACUCUGAUGCAGCGAUGCCGCGUGAGUGAAGAAGGCCCUUGGGUUGUAAAGCUCUUUCGUCGGGGAAGAAAAUGACUGUACCCGAAUAAGAAGGUCCGGCUAACUUCGUGCCAGCAGCCGCGGUAAUACGAAGGGACCUAGCGUAGUUCGGAAUUACUGGGCUUAAAGAGUUCGUAGGUGGUUGAAAAAGUUGGUGGUGAAAUCCCAGAGCUUAACUCUGGAACUGCCAUCAAAACUUUUCAGCUAGAGUUUGAUAGAGGAAAGCAGAAUUUCUAGUGUAGAGGUGAAAUUCGUAGAUAUUAGAAAGAAUACCAAUUGCGAAGGCAGCUUUCUGGAUCAUUACUGACGCUGAGGAACGAAAGCAUGGGUAGCGAAGAGGAUUAGAUACCCUCGUAGUCCAUGCCGUAAAAGAUGUGUGUUAGACGUUGGAAAUUUAUUUUCAGUGUCGCAGCGAAAGCGAUAAACACACCGCCUGGGGAGUACGACCGCAAGGUUAAAACUCAAAUGAAUUGACGGGGACCCGCACAAGUAGUGGAGCAUGUGGUUUAAUUCGAAGAUACGCGCAGAACCUUACCAACACUUGACAUGUUCGUCGCAACUUUAAGAGAUUAAAGUUUUCGGUUCGGCCGGACGAAACACAGGUGCUGCAUGGCUGUCGUCAGCUCGUGUCGUGAGAUGUUGGGUUAAGUCCCGCAACGAGCGCAACCCUCACUUUUAGUUGCCAUCAUUAAGUUGGGCACUCUGAAAGAACUGCCAGUGAUAAGCUGGAGGAAGGUGGGGAUGACGUCAAGUCCUCAUGGCCCUUACGUGUUGGGCUACACACGUGCUACAAUGGUAUCUACAACAGGAAGCGAAACAGCGAUGUUAAGCAAAUCCUUAAAAGAUACCUCAGUUCGGAUUGCACUCUGCAACUCGAGUGCAUGAAGCUGGAAUUACUAGUAAUCGUGGAUCAGCGUGCCACGGUGAAUGCGUUCCCGGGUCUUGUACACACCGCCCGUCACACCAUGGGAGUUGGUUCUACCUUAAGGCAAGGUUUAAUACCCUUGACCACGGUAUAGUCAGCGACUGGGGUGAAGUCGUAACAAGGUAGCCGUAGGGGAACCUGCGGCUGGAUUACCUCCUUUCU
Molecule: ribosomal RNA, 1479 nt
Filed under: uncultured SAR11 cluster bacterium HF0010_09O16
Lineage: Bacteria; Pseudomonadati; Pseudomonadota; Alphaproteobacteria; Candidatus Pelagibacterales
Description: 16S ribosomal RNA
Rfam family: Bacterial small subunit ribosomal RNA
Source: RNAcentral